Chenopodium quinoa (quinoa) is the source of this 612-nucleotide long non-coding RNA. RefSeq lists it as uncharacterized. The transcript is spliced from 3 exons. NCBI's taxonomy places the organism in Eukaryota, Viridiplantae, Streptophyta, Magnoliopsida, Caryophyllales, Amaranthaceae. The record is from RefSeq and is a predicted model, not a curated record.
UCUUUUUUGUGUAUCAUGUUUGACAAUUCUCUUGUUUUGUUUACUCUCUUGUGUUCUAUCUUUAACGUUUGGGGGUUGUCUUGCAGGACAAUGAACCUUUGAUGCGUGCACUCUCAAAGCUUAUCAACCUUAACAAUCCGAAUCUUGUCCUUUUUGUCGGUGAAGCGCUUGUUGGUAAUGAAGCUGUGGAUCAGCUCUCAAAAAUCAAUCAGAAACUUGCUGAUCUUUGAAACUCACCAAAUCCAAGAUUGAUUGAUGGCAUCCUCCUUACCAAGUUUGACACCAUCGAUGACAAGGUUGGAGCUGCUUUGUCCAUGGUUUACAUCUCUGGAGCUCCUGUGAUGUUUGUUGGCUGUGGGCAGUCUUACACUGACUUGAUGAAAUUGAACGUCAAGUCCAUCGUGAAGACGCUCCUCAAUUGAGCCAACAUAAUAUGCCACAUUGUUUGUACUGUGUGAUAUGCUCUUUCUGGCAUCCUCAAACCUACUGUCAUCCUCUGUUUGAUUUUAGAUAUUAAUCCAGUUGUGCUGUUUCUGAGAAGAAUUGUAAAAAUAAAGAUGUUUUUUGUUUGUGGCUCUAAAUAAUCAAUACUCCAUACUUAUAUUUUAUUUA